Molecule: ribosomal RNA, 301 nt
Filed under: uncultured bacterium
Lineage: Bacteria
Description: partial 16S ribosomal RNA
Rfam family: Bacterial small subunit ribosomal RNA
Source: RNAcentral
CAGCAGCCGCGGGAAUACGUAGGUGGCAAGCGUUGUCCGGAAUUAUUGGGCGUAAAGGGCUCGCAGGCGGUUUCUUGAGUCUGAUGUGAAAGCCCCCGGCUCAACCGGGGAGGGUCAUUGGAAACUGGGAAACUUGAGUGCAGAAGAGGAGAGUGGAAUUCCACGUGUAGCGGUGAAAUGCGUAGAGAUGUGGAGGAACACCAGUGGCGAAGGCGACUCUCUGGUCUGUAACUGACGCCGAGGAGCGAAAGCGUGGGGAGCGAACAGGAUUAGAUACCCCAGUAGUCCCUGUCUCUUAUAC